RNAcentral lists this long non-coding RNA (923 nucleotides) under Cricetulus griseus (Chinese hamster). Its description in RNAcentral is "lncRNA (ENSCGRG00015035060.1)". Lineage: Eukaryota; Metazoa; Chordata; Mammalia; Rodentia; Cricetidae. The record is from RNAcentral.
AUUUCAUUAGUAUGUGAAAUUGCUUCAAUUUCUAAUAAACGAUAAAAUUCUAUGUCUAUCAAAGGAUUAUUCUCAAAUUUUUUCAUGCUUUACUACCAGUAAAAGUUUGGUUUGAGUACCUACUUUAUACACCUAUAGACAUACGUGUGAUGUUUAAUUCCAGUUGUCAACCUGAUGAGUUAUAGUUCACCUGGGAGAAGAACUUCUGGGCAUGACUGUGAGAAUUGUCUUCAUUAGGUUAAUUAACCCAUGGGUGCUAUGGGUGAGGUUCUGGACUGUAUAACAGGGAGGAAAUGAGCUGAACCCUGGGAUUCAUCUCUCUUUGCUUCCUGACUGCUCCCAUGACUUCCUUCCGUGAUAACUGCUACCCACUAAUACUGAAGAUUUCACCUCGUUUCAUUGAUUCUAACCAUAUCUUCAUGAACUAGAAAGAUGAAAAAGAAUGUCACUUGGAGACAAAGAAGGCCAAGAACCUUUCACUGGUGAAAAGAGGGUGGAGAAACUAUUGUGUGUCCAGCAGUUGAUCUGGAAUCUUCCAGGCUCUUUCUCUCUUUGGAACCAACCAUGGCCAGCCUCUGCUUCUGGUGUUAAAAGAUGAACAUGUGGCUGAUGUAAAGGACGCUUUGUUGUCUGCCUGCACCUGUGCAAAGCCUCCAGUCAGAUUUUGACACUUCACUAUUGAGCAAGCCAGCAGUUGCACACGGAGACCCUGAGGAGAGGAAAAGCUCCUUAAGCAGGAAGAUAAACAGCUCUAACUAGCUUCAGAAAGUCCCUGAAACUGAGAAGAUUCACUAGGCUCCUCACUUCCAGAGUAAGCAAUAAAAGCUGCCAGUUACUCUCAAAGGGAAGGAAGCUGAGCUGCAAAGAAGACUCUGAGACCAGAGCAACUGCCUGGAAGAAACAGAAACCAUCAGAGAUGCCUG